GGGGAUGUAAAGGUUUCGACGGGGGCUGUAAGCCCUGGUAAGCGAGCAGCGGUGCGGAACCGCUUUAAAAUCCGCAACUUUAAAAAAUAAACGACAAUAAUAAAUUUGUUGCACAAGCUGCUUAAUUAAGCAGCCGUUCUUACCGGGAGUACCGCGGCUCGGCUAAGAGCGUCAUUUAGCGGUGAACGUGAACCGGCAAGCGCCCUGUACCCGGUCAUGAUUUAAGGGCUGCCUGAUGCUGUAGCUUGUUGAUGGGCGACGGCAGCGGGGAGAAAAAAGCAUCAACUACGCUCGUAGAAAGCCUUGGUAAGCGGCUUUCGGACAGGGGUUCGAUUCCCCUCAUCUCCACCA
RNAcentral lists this small RNA (351 nucleotides) under chicken gut metagenome. Its description in RNAcentral is "transfer-messenger RNA". It matches the Rfam family "transfer-messenger RNA". From Rfam's summary of the family: Bacterial tmRNA, also known as 10Sa RNA or SsrA, is named for its dual tRNA and mRNA-like properties. The record is from RNAcentral.